This 467-nucleotide ribosomal RNA is filed under the name uncultured bacterium. RNAcentral's name for it is "partial 16S ribosomal RNA". It matches the Rfam family "Bacterial small subunit ribosomal RNA", at positions 28 to 507 of the family's 1533-position model. The record is from RNAcentral.
GACGAACGCUGGCGGCGUGCUUAACACAUGCAAGUCGAACGGAAAGGCUCCAGCUUGCUGGAGUACUCGAGUGGCGAACGGGUGAGUAACACGUGGGUAAUCUGCCCUGCACUCUGGGAUAAGCCUGGGAAACUGGGUCUAAUACUGGAUAUGACCUUUCUCCUUAUGGGGUUUGGUGGAAAGUUUUUCGGUGUAGGAUUAGCCCGCGGCCUAUCAGCUUGUUGGUGGGGUGAUGGCCUACCAAGGCGACGACGGGUAGCCGGCCUGAGAGGGUGAUCGGCCACAUUGGGACUGAGAUACGGCCCAGACUCCUACGGGAGGCAGCAGUGGGGAAUAUUGCACAAUGGGCGGAAGCCUGAUGCAGCGACGCCGCGUGAGGGAUGACGGCCUUCGGGUUGUAAACCUCUUUCAGCAGGGACGAAGCGUAAGUGACGGUACCUGCAGAAGAAGCACCGGCUAACUAUGUG